GGACUACUAGGGUUUCUAAUCCUGUUCGCUACCCAUGCUUUCGAGCCUCAGCGUCAGUUACAGACCAGAGAGCCGCCUUCGCCACUGGUGUUCUUCCAUAUAUCUACGCAUUCCACCGCUACACAUGGAGUUCCACUCUCCUCUUCUGCACUCAAGAAAGACAGUUUCCGAUGCUAUUCCUCGGUUAAGCCGAGGGCUUUCACAUCUGACUUAUCUUUCCGCCUGCGCUCGCUUUACGCCCAAUAAAUCCGGACAACGCUUGCCACCUACGUAUUACCGCGGCUGCUGGCACGUAGUUAGCCGUGACUUUCUGGUUGAUUACCGGCAAAUAAUGAGCAGUUACUCUCACUAUCUUUCUUCACCAACAACAGAGCUUUACGAUCCGAAAACCUUCUUCACU
Molecule: unclassified non-coding RNA, 400 nt
Filed under: uncultured Lactobacillaceae bacterium
Lineage: Bacteria; Bacillati; Bacillota; Bacilli; Lactobacillales; Lactobacillaceae
Description: contains 16S-23S intergenic spacer region
Source: RNAcentral